UACAGAGGCCCCAAGCGUUACUGAGAAUCACUGGGUUUAAAGGGUGCGUAGGUGGCGCGUUAAGUCCGUUGUGAAAUCCCUGGGCUCAACCCAGGAAUUGCUUCGGAUACUGGCGUGCUUGAGGCUAGUAGGGGUCACUGGAACUGACGGUGGAGCGGUGAAAUGCGUAGAUAUUCGCAAGAACACCAGUGGCGAAGGCGGCUCACUGGCCCGAUACUGACGCUGAGGCACGAAAGCGUGGGGAGCAAACAGG
Molecule: ribosomal RNA, 253 nt
Filed under: uncultured bacterium
Lineage: Bacteria
Description: partial 16S ribosomal RNA
Rfam family: Bacterial small subunit ribosomal RNA
Source: RNAcentral